CACCAUGCCCAGCAAGAUGAUUCUUAGUUCUGUCUCUGGUCCUGACUUUUCUAAACUUCAUUUCCAGUUGUUUGCCAGGCACUUUUUUCCCCCUGUGGAUGUCCCACAUACUUCUCCAAGAUGGGUCCCACUAUGCAGUCCAGCCUGGCCUUAAACUGGAGUUGGGUCCUCCCUCCUCAACCUCCUGAGUGCUGGGAUUAUAGGCAUACGCCACCACGCCUGGCAAAAACUAAAGAAUUUCUUGAACGCUGGACAAAGAUCUUGGAGUCACCUUUGUCACCCAAGCCUAAGGGCACGGCCGGUUUCUGGGCUCCGUCCCCAAUAGAAGCCUGCUCUGGAAUGCAGACUUCGCAAAUCGGCUGGGCCCCGGCAGGUGGACUUUCCCCUCCGGGGCCCACACCUAGCUUCCGAAGGCCGGGAGAGGGAGAAAAGCGCUCCGGGAAGGCGCUGGCUGCAUUGUUCUGAUGCCUCUUUAAUCCUGCGUAUGUUCACAAUAAACAUUUGUUGAACAAAUAAACGAG
This is a long non-coding RNA of Heterocephalus glaber (naked mole-rat), 521 nucleotides long. The record is from Ensembl. NCBI's taxonomy places the organism in Eukaryota, Metazoa, Chordata, Mammalia, Rodentia, Bathyergidae.